CUUGGGAUGAGGCCAAAUAUCUUCUGAAUGGCCGGCAAGUGACAUGACAGAGUUACUGCAGAUACCUUAAGAAGCAAACACUGUUAAUGGAAUAUCAGUAACAUUUAUUAGGUUCAGUUAUGAAGGACUUCUGGGCAUUCCAACUGGUGAGCAAUGUCAUCAGACACCAAAAGAAGUUCAAUUAUGGAUUUCUGGGCAGUCAAUCCAUGAGAAAAUACAAACCAGAUUACAUCAAGACUGUUCUAUUCCAGAGAUAGCUUGGAAAAUGGAUAGUAUUGCUGAAGGGAAACCAUCCAUAUACUGUUUCAUGUGUUUAUCAAAUCAUCACUUUUAGUGGCACAUGAAUGUUUGCAACUUCAUUGUAACUUGUGAACACAGUUUCUCAGCAAUCCAAGAAUUUAUUUUGAUGAGAAAUAUACGUUGUUACCUGGGUAAAGGAAAUACAAAUCAGGGUCAAUACAACAACCUUAUUAACAUUCCAAAGAAAAAUGCUAUUCUCUACUGGUACUCUAAAUUCACAUGUGUGACAAAGUUUACUUACCUCUCUCAUUUGUGUUUUAGAUAGCUCUUAUUUUCUGACCCUUCAAAUGGAAUUCUAUGACCUCCACUUGAUCUAUUCCUUAUCAAUUGUAACUAAUUGCUAAGGAAUUAUGAUCGUGUUCAUGGCUUCAACUCCAUUUGUAGUGUCAAUGGUGCCAGAAUUUCCCUUGUCCUCAUAAGCUUUCACCCAUCUUUAAUUACCAAUAGCCACUGCUGUUAAAAAUAUGGCCAUGCAUUUUCGUUUCUCUGAGAAGCCUCAUGCACUGGCGUGGCACAAGUAUAUGAACAUUGCAAUGAGAGAGGUCUUUAUGCCAGGCCCUGUACAAUUAAUAGCAUCUUACUUAAUAAUAUAGCUGGGAACUUGAUGGCACAGUUGUGAGGAGACCAUAAACUUCAGGUCUUGCUAAUUGCAAUUCUGGCUCACAAUUUUUCAGCAGUUAAAAUACUUUUUGUAAUGUUUCACUGUUGCUGCAGUUGUAUGUGAGGUUAUAAACCUGUUUACACAACUCCCUCACCUCAGAUUGCUGCAAAGAAAUGGUAAGGUUUCAACGUCACUCUCUACAGGGUUAUUACAAAUGAUUGAAGCGAUUUCACAGCUCUGCAAUAACUUUAUUAUUUGAGAUAUUUUCACAAUGCUUUGCACACACAUACAAAAACUCAAAAAGUUUUUUUAGGCAUUCACAAAUGUUCGAUAUGUGCCCCUUUAGUGAUUCGGCAGACAUCAAGCCGAUAAUCAAGUUCCUCCCACACUCGGUGCAGCAUGUCCCCAUCAAUGAGUUCGGAAGCAUAGUCGAUGCGAGCUCGCAGUUCUGGCAUGUUUCUUAGUAGAGGAGGUUUAAACACUGAAUCUUUCACAUAACCCCACAGAAAGAAAUCACAUGGGGUUAAGUCGGGAGAGCGUGGAGGCCAUGACAUGAAUUGCUGAUCAUGAUCUCCACCACGACCGAUCCAUCGGUUUUCCAAUCUCCUGUUUAAGAAAUGCUGAAAAUCAUGAUGGAAGUGCGGUGGAGCACCAUCCUGUUGAAAGAUGAAGUCGGCGCUGUCGGUCUCCAAUUGUGGCAUGAGCCAAUUUUCCAGCAUGUCCAGAUACAAGUGUCCUGUAACGUUUUUUUCGCAGAAGAAAAAGGGGCCGUAAACUUUAAACCAUGAGAUUGCACAAAACACGUUAACUUUUGGUGAAUUGCGAAUUUGCUGUACGAAUGCGUGAGGAUUCUCUACCGCCCAGAUUCGCACAUUGUGUCUGUUCACUUCACCAUUAAGAAAAAAUGUUGCUUCAUCACUGAAAACAAGUUUCGCACUGAACGCAUCCUCUUCCAUGAGCUGUUGCAACCGUGCCGAAAAUUCAAAGCGUUUGACUUUGUCAUCGGGUGUCAGGGCUUGUAGCAAUUGUAAACGGUAAGGCUUCUGCUUUAGCCUUUUCCGUAAGAUUUUCCAAACUGUCAGCUGUGGUACGUUUAGCUCCCUGCUUGCUUUAUUCGUCGACUUCCGCGGGCUACGCGUGAAACUUGCCCGCACGCGUUCAACCGUUUCUUCGCUCACUGCAGGUCGACCCGUUGAUUUCCCCUUACAGAGGCAUCCAGAAGCUUUAAACUGCACAUACCAUUGCCGAAUGGAGUUAGCAGUUGGUUGAUCUUUGUUGAACUUCGUCCUGAAGAGUCGUUGCACUGUUAUGACUGCCUGAUGUGAGUGCAUUUCAAGCACGACAUAUGCUUUCUCGGCUCCUGUCGCCAUUUUGUCUCACUGCGCUCUCGAGCGCUCUGGCGGCAGAAACCUGAAGUGCGGCUUCAGCCGAACAAAACUUUAUGAGUUUUUCUACGUAUCUGUAGUGUGUCGUGACCAUAUGUCAAUGAAUGGAGCUACAGUGAAUUUAUGAAAUCGCUUCAAUCAUUUGUAAUAGCCCUGUAUAUUUGUUUCCGAAAUUGCAUCCUCAAUGCUACUGUCUUUGAAGCCAAACCCAUUUACCUCAUCAAGGCAGAUUUAUUGGGCUACUCCUGUAGUUUUCUGGUAUUUUAUCAAAACCAUGGUCCAGAUAGAAAACAAAGAUUGCACAGAAAUGUUUGCAUGGGUAAUUAUACAUCAGAAAUUCUUCAUGUGUGCAGUUUGUUAGAGCAUAGCUUACAGCACAAUUACAGGCUUUGCACAUUGCACUCUCCACACAAAACAAUCCUUAUGAUCUCAUAUUCACUGAUCCUGUGUGACAAAGCAAACUGGGAUAAUUUCAAUUCCCCUCUUGUUUUGCCAUCUGCCUCCUUAAACUCGUUUUGUUACUUUUAACUAAUUAUCAUUAACAUAGAUGAAUAUAAUCUGCAAUUCCAUAAAAGAGAAAGAUUUGUUCUUAGUUUUAAAGAAUAUAACACCAGAUCGAAUUCUGUGCUUAGAUUUAUGUAUGUAACUGAUUUUCUAAUUUAUUUCGACUAUUCCUAGCUAGUAUUGUUUG
This is a long non-coding RNA of Schistocerca nitens (vagrant locust), 2977 nucleotides long. RefSeq lists it as uncharacterized. Lineage: Eukaryota; Metazoa; Arthropoda; Insecta; Orthoptera; Acrididae. The record is from RefSeq and is a predicted model, not a curated record. The transcript is spliced from 3 exons.